RNAcentral lists this ribosomal RNA (563 nucleotides) under Alteromonas sp. 16ox. RNAcentral's name for it is "bacterial SSU rRNA". It matches the Rfam family "Bacterial small subunit ribosomal RNA", at positions 199 to 751 of the family's 1533-position model. The record is from RNAcentral. Lineage: Bacteria; Pseudomonadati; Pseudomonadota; Gammaproteobacteria; Alteromonadales; Alteromonadaceae.
GACCAAACGGGGCUUCGCUCCGGCGCAAAGAGAGGCCCAAGUGAGAUUAGCUAGUUGGUGAGGCCAAGGCUCACCAAGGCAACGAUCUCUAGCUGUUCUGAGAGGAAGAUCAGCCACACUGGGACUGAGACACGGCCCAGACUCCUACGGGAGGCAGCAGUGGGGAAUAUUGCACAAUGGGGGAAACCCUGAUGCAGCCAUGCCGCGUGUGUGAAGAAGGCUUCGGGUUGUAAAGCACUUUCAGUUGUGAGGAAAAGUUAGUAGUUNAUACCUGCUAGCCGUGACGUUAACAACAGAAGAAGCACCGGCUAACUCCGUGCCAGCAGCCGCGGUAAUACGGAGGGUGCGAGCGUUAAUCGGAAUUACUGGGCGUAAAGCGCACGCAGGCGGUUUGUUAAGCUAGAUGUGAAAGCCCCGGGCUCAACCUGGGACGGUCAUUUAGAACUGGCAGACUAGAGUCUUGGAGAGGGGAGUGGAAUUCCAGGUGUAGCGGUGAAAUGCGUAGAUAUCUGGAGGAACAUCAGUGGCGAAGGCGACUCCCUGGCCACAGACUGACGCUCACG